This 475-nucleotide ribosomal RNA is filed under the name uncultured bacterium. Its description in RNAcentral is "SSU rRNA". It matches the Rfam family "Bacterial small subunit ribosomal RNA", at positions 26 to 518 of the family's 1533-position model. The record is from RNAcentral.
AGGACGAACGCUGGCGGCGUGCUUAACACAUGCAAGUCGAGCGGAAAGGCCCUUCGGGGUACUCGAGCGGCGAACGGGUGAGUAACACGUGAGUAAUCUGCCCCUAGCUCUGGGAUAGCUCCGGGAAAACCGGGAUUAAUACCGGAUACGACCACCUUAGACAUCUUUUGUGGUGGAAAGAAUUUCGGCUAGGGAUGAGCUCGCGGCCUAUCAGCUUGUUGGUGGGGUAACGCCUACCAAGGCGACGACGGGUAGCCGGCCUGAGAGGGCGACCGGCCACGACUGGGACUGAGACACGGCCCAGACUCCUACGGGAGGCAGCAGUGGGGAAUAUUGCGCAAUGGGCGAAAGCCUGACGCAGCGACGCCGCGUGGGGGAUGAAGGCCUUCGGGUUGGUAAACCCUUUCAGCAGGGACGAAGCGAAAGUGACGGUACCUGCAGAAGAAGCGCCGGCUAACUACGUGCCAGCAGCCGC